This is a long non-coding RNA of Saccostrea cuccullata (small rock oyster), 527 nucleotides long. RefSeq lists it as uncharacterized. The transcript is spliced from 5 exons. The record is from RefSeq and is a predicted model, not a curated record. NCBI's taxonomy places the organism in Eukaryota, Metazoa, Mollusca, Bivalvia, Ostreida, Ostreidae.
CGUUUGACAUUUUAUAUGCCCUCUGAGAUUCACAUCCUUUCAAGGAAUUGCUUUUGUGAUAUGAAUUAUCAAUAAAAAGAUGGUAAUGGAAACGUUUUCCGUUCCGCAAGCUAUCGCUGUUUUUGUAUUUCUGGCUCAUAGUACGCAUAUAUACGUGGCCUCUCAGAUCGAUAUCAGUACUGGUUUCAAAUUUAUUCACUAUGGACCCUAUCAAAUCGGUGACACUUAUCGAGGAGUAUGUGACGUGAAAUUACCUCCUGAUGAUAAUAUAACGAACGUAGAUGCCUACUGGAAUUUCGGGAAUGCUAACUUUUGUCACAACGGCCAAAAAGUAUGAUUGCUAAAUAGAAACUUUACGUGUAAUUCAACUACGGUAGGGAAUACAACUGCCUUCGAACUAAGAAUUCCAGACCUGAGAUUAAAAGAUGCAGGUACAUACGUUUGUAUUGUAAAGCAUAACACAAAAGAAACCACCACAACUUUUUCUGUUAAUGUUACAGUCACAGAUCCUUCCAUCACAACACCAG